RNAcentral lists this small nuclear RNA (63 nucleotides) under Echinops telfairi (small Madagascar hedgehog). Its description in RNAcentral is "U7 small nuclear RNA (ENSETEG00000022224.1)". It matches the Rfam family "U7 small nuclear RNA". From Rfam's summary of the family: Animal histone pre-mRNAs are spliced by a different mechanism than nuclear pre-mRNAs and self-splicing introns. Lineage: Eukaryota; Metazoa; Chordata; Mammalia; Afrosoricida; Tenrecidae. The record is from RNAcentral.
CAGUGUUACAGCUCUUUUAGAAUUUGUCUAGCAGGUUUUAUGUGUUUUUUCCGUAAAACCCCC